UCCGGUUUGGCACCGGCAGUCCCUCUAGAGUCCUCGGCUUUCACCGGCUGUCCCGUGCAUGUCAAGCCCUGGUAAGGUUCUUCGCGUAGCUUCGAAUUAAACCGCACGCUCCGCUGCUUGUGCGGGCCCCCGUCAAUUCCUUUGAGUUUUAGCCUUGCGGCCGUAGUCCCCAGGCGGAGCACUUAUCGCGUUAGCUGCGCUACCGGAGGGGUCGAUACCCCCGACAGCUAGUGCUCAUCGUUUACGGCGUGGACUAC
This 257-nucleotide unclassified non-coding RNA is filed under the name uncultured Chloroflexota bacterium. RNAcentral's name for it is "uncultured Chloroflexi bacterium contains 16S-23S intergenic spacer region". The record is from RNAcentral. Lineage: Bacteria; Bacillati; Chloroflexota.